Long non-coding RNA from Alligator mississippiensis (American alligator), 337 nucleotides. RefSeq lists it as uncharacterized. The transcript has 3 exons. NCBI's taxonomy places the organism in Eukaryota, Metazoa, Chordata, Crocodylia, Alligatoridae. The record is from RefSeq and is a predicted model, not a curated record.
CUGAUGGCAGGGUAGCCCCUGCACCCCCAGCAAGCUACCAUGGACCACAGGCUGACACAUCAGGCUUCAUCAAGACCUUGAAGGAAAAGUUUAUGUCUAAAGAGGUCUCCCUCCUGGGCAGCUCAGGCACUGUGGUGAAGACAGAUCAUCCAGCAGCCCCCAAGGAAGCAGCAGGAGCUGGAACCCAUGCAUGGAUUGGUGAUGCUACAGCAGUCUCUAACAGGCCACUUGGAAGUAGCACCUAUAACCAGGGUGAGCUGCUUGGGAAGAAGGAAGUGAUGCCAGACAAAGGUGAAGCCAAAACAGAAGACCCAUGCAAAGGCACGGCCAACGGUGG